GCUGGGCACAGUGGCUCAUGCCUGUAAUCCAGUGACUUGGGAGGCUGAGACAGGAGGGUUGCAAGUUCAAGAACAAACUCAGCAACAUAGCAAGGCCCUGUCUCAA
This 106-nucleotide small RNA is filed under the name Marmota monax (woodchuck). The record is from RNAcentral. Lineage: Eukaryota; Metazoa; Chordata; Mammalia; Rodentia; Sciuridae.